Molecule: ribosomal RNA, 1552 nt
Filed under: Staphylococcus aureus
Lineage: Bacteria; Bacillati; Bacillota; Bacilli; Caryophanales; Staphylococcaceae
Description: 16S ribosomal RNA
Rfam family: Bacterial small subunit ribosomal RNA
Source: RNAcentral
UUUAUGGAGAGUUUGAUCCUGGCUCAGGAUGAACGCUGGCGGCGUGCCUAAUACAUGCAAGUCGAGCGAACGGACGAGAAGCUUGCUUCUCUGAUGUUAGCGGCGGACGGGUGAGUAACACGUGGAUAACCUACCUAUAAGACUGGGAUAACUUCGGGAAACCGGAGCUAAUACCGGAUAAUAUUUUGAACCGCAUGGUUCAAAAGUGAAAGACGGUCUUGCUGUCACUUAUAGAUGGAUCCGCGCUGCAUUAGCUAGUUGGUAAGGUAACGGCUUACCAAGGCAACGAUGCAUAGCCGACCUGAGAGGGUGAUCGGCCACACUGGAACUGAGACACGGUCCAGACUCCUACGGGAGGCAGCAGUAGGGAAUCUUCCGCAAUGGGCGAAAGCCUGACGGAGCAACGCCGCGUGAGUGAUGAAGGUCUUCGGAUCGUAAAACUCUGUUAUUAGGGAAGAACAUAUGUGUAAGUAACUGUGCACAUCUUGACGGUAACUAAUCAGAAAGCCACGGCUAACUACGUGCCAGCAGCCGCGGUAAUACGUAGGUGGCAAGCGUUAUCCGGAAUUAUUGGGCGUAAAGCGCGCGUAGGCGGUUUUUUAAGUCUGAUGUGAAAGCUCACGGCUCAACCGUGGAGGGUCAUUGGAAACUGGAAAACUUGAGUGCAGAAGAGGAAAGUGGAAUUCCAUGUGUAGCGGUGAAAUGCGCAGAGAUAUGGAGGAACACCAGUGGCGAAGGCGACUUUCUGGUCUGUAACUGACGCUGAUGUGCGAAAGCGUGGGGAUCAAACAGGAUUAGAUACCCUGGUAGUCCACGCCGUAAACGAUGAGUGCUAAGUGUUAGGGGGUUUCCGCCCCUUAGUGCUGCAGCUAACGCAUUAAGCACUCCGCCUGGGGAGUACGACCGCAAGGUUGAAACUCAAAGGAAUUGACGGGGACCCGCACAAGCGGUGGAGCAUGUGGUUUAAUUCGAAGCAACGCGAAGAACCUUACCAAAUCUUGACAUCCUUUGACAACUCUAGAGAUAGAGCCUUCCCCUUCGGGGGACAAAGUGACAGGUGGUGCAUGGUUGUCGUCAGCUCGUGUCGUGAGAUGUUGGGUUAAGUCCCGCAACGAGCGCAACCCUUAAGCUUAGUUGCCAUCAUUAAGUUGGGCACUCUAAGUUGACUGCCGGUGACAAACCGGAGGAAGGUGGGGAUGACGUCAAAUCAUCAUGCCCCUUAUGAUUUGGGCUACACACGUGCUACAAUGGACAAUACAAAGGGCAGCGAAACCGCGAGGUCAAGCAAAUCCCAUAAAGUUGUUCUCAGUUCGGAUUGUAGUCUGCAACUCGACUACAUGAAGCUGGAAUCGCUAGUAAUCGUAGAUCAGCAUGCUACGGUGAAUACGUUCCCGGGUCUUGUACACACCGCCCGUCACACCACGAGAGUUUGUAACACCCGAAGCCGGUGGAGUAACCUUUUAGGAGCUAGCCGUCGAAGGUGGGACAAAUGAUUGGGGUGAAGUCGUAACAAGGUAGCCGUAUCGGAAGGUGCGGCUGGAUCACCUCCUUU